This 720-nucleotide ribosomal RNA is filed under the name Eriophora sp. Western Australia. RNAcentral's name for it is "SSU rRNA". It matches the Rfam family "Eukaryotic small subunit ribosomal RNA", at positions 407 to 1130 of the family's 1831-position model. Lineage: Eukaryota; Metazoa; Arthropoda; Arachnida; Araneae; Araneidae. The record is from RNAcentral.
CUACCACAUCCAAGGAAGGCAGCAGGCGCGCAAAUUACCCACUCCCAGAACGGGGAGGUAGUGACGAAAAAUAACAAUACGGGACUCUUUUGAGACCCCGUAAUUGGAAUGAGUACACUCUAAAUCCUUUAACGAGGAUCCAUUGGAGAGCAAGUCUGGUGCCAGCAGUCGCGGUAAUUCCAGCUCCAAUAGCGUAUAUUAAAGUUGUUGCGGUUAAAAAGCUCGUAGUUGGAUCUCAGCUCCGGCCGGACGGUCCGCCUACCGGUGGUUACUGUUCGUCGCCGAGCGUUCAGGCGGUUAUUCUUGAUGAUCUUCACCGGUUGUCUCGGGUGACCGCCAAGUUUACUUUGAAAAAAUUAGAGUGCUCAAAGCAGGCGCGACGCCUGAAUAAUUGUGCAUGGAAUAAUGGAAUAGGACCUCGGUUCUAUUUUGUUGGUUUUCGGAACACGAGGUAAUGAUUAAGAGGGACAGACGGGGGCAUUCGUAUUGCGACGCUAGAGGUGAAAUUCUUGGACCGUCGCAAGACGAACUACUGCGAAAGCAUUUGCCAAGAAUGUUUCCAUUAAUCAAGAACGAAAGUUAGAGGUUCGAAGGCGAUCAGAUACCGCCCUAGUUCUAACCAUAAACGAUGUCAGCCAGCAAUCCGCCUGUGUUCCUCAAAUGACACGGCGGGCGGCUUCCGGGAAACCAAAGCUUUUGGGUUCCGGGGGAAGUAUGGUU